Molecule: ribosomal RNA, 466 nt
Filed under: uncultured Actinomycetes bacterium
Lineage: Bacteria; Bacillati; Actinomycetota; Actinomycetes
Description: bacterial SSU rRNA
Rfam family: Bacterial small subunit ribosomal RNA
Source: RNAcentral
GACGAACGCUGGCGGCACGCUUAACACAUGCAAGUCGAACGAGGUCCAUGGAGCUUGCUCCGGAAGACCUAGUGGCGAACGGGUGCGUAACACGUGAGAAACCUGCCCUGAACUUGGGAAUAACAGUCGGAAACGACUGCUAAUACCGAAUACCUUCACGACGUCGCAUGGCGAUGUGAAGAAAGCUUUAUGCGGUUUAGGAGGGUCUCGCGGCCUAUCAGCUUGUUGGUGAGGUAACGGCUCACCAAGGCAUCGACGGGUAGCUGGUCUGAGAGGAUGAUCAGCCACACUGGGACUGAGACACGGCCCAGACUCCUACGGGAGGCAGCAGUGGGGAAUAUUGCACAAUGGGCGCAAGCCUGAUGCAGCGAUGCCGCGUGCGGGAUGAAGGCCCUAGGGUUGUAAACCGCUUUCAGCAGGGAAGAAAAUGACGGUACCUGCAGAAGAAGGUGCGGCCAACUACGUG